This is a non-coding RNA of Pelobates cultripes (western spadefoot toad), 443 nucleotides long. Lineage: Eukaryota; Metazoa; Chordata; Amphibia; Anura; Pelobatidae. The record is from the annotation of a GenBank genome assembly.
GCUGUAAACACUGUCUUUUCAGAGAAAAUGCAGUCUUUACAUUACAGCCUAGUGAUAACUUCACUGGCCACUCCUUGGAUGGCUGUUAGAGAUCAUUCCUGGGUCAUGGCUGCCUAUAGAGUUAACACUAUAGAGUCAGGAAUUCAUGUUUGUGUUCCUGACCCUAUAGUGAUUCUUUAAGGUAAUGCUGACUUUGGUCUCUCUAACACUGUGGCAUGUUCCCUUUCUUCUACACUCAAUACAUACAGCUUUUCUUUGUCCCAGACUAUAUACCAGGAGCAUCUGCCUGCUAGUAAGAAGGUAAGGAGACAAGUGGACCAGCGAGUGCUAGGGGACAGUCCUUUAGAAAGCGUUGAACGAGCCCAUCAUUAAAAGCAUUUAUGCCAAGCUCAGGGUGCUGUCUGCAUAGUAUGCCCUUAGUUGGCCAGCUGCAUGAUUGGCAG